GGUUUGAAUUAUGGCUCAGGAUGAACGCUGGCGGCGUGCUUAACACAUGCAAGUCGAACGGUGAAGCAGAGCUUGCUCUGUGGAUCAGUGGCGAACGGGUGAGUAACACGUGAGCAACCUGCCCCUGACUCUGGGAUAAGCGCUGGAAACGGCGUCUAAUACUGGAUACGAACAAGAAUCGCAUGGUUACUUGUUGGAAAGAUUUUUUGGUUGGGGAUGGGCUCGCGGCCUAUCAGCUUGUUGGUGAGGUAAUGGCUCACCAAGGCGUCGACGGGUAGCCGGCCUGAGAGGGUGACCGGCCACACUGGGACUGAGACACGGCCCAGACUCCUACGGGAGGCAGCAGUGGGGAAUAUUGCACAAUGGGCGGAAGCCUGAUGCAGCAACGCCGCGUGAGGGAUGACGGCCUUCGGGUUGUAAACCUCUUUUAGCAGGGAAGAAGCGAAAGUGACGGUACCUGCAGAAAAAGCGCCGGCUAACUACGUGCCAGCAGCCGCGGUAAUACGUAGGGCGCAAGCGUUAUCCGGAAUUAUUGGGCGUAAAGAGCUCGUAGGCGGUUUGUCGCGUCUGCUGUGAAAUCCCGAGGCUCAACCUCGGGCCUGCAGUGGGUACGGGCAGACUAGAGUGCGGUAGGGGAGAUUGGAAUUCCUGGUGUAGCGGUGGAAUGCGCAGAUAUCAGGAGGAACACCGAUGGCGAAGGCAGAUCUCUGGGCCGUAACUGACCCUGA
This 728-nucleotide ribosomal RNA is filed under the name Microbacterium sp. RI03. Its description in RNAcentral is "bacterial SSU rRNA". It matches the Rfam family "Bacterial small subunit ribosomal RNA", at positions 10 to 749 of the family's 1533-position model. The record is from RNAcentral. Lineage: Bacteria; Bacillati; Actinomycetota; Actinomycetes; Micrococcales; Microbacteriaceae.